RNAcentral lists this long non-coding RNA (581 nucleotides) under Mus musculus (house mouse). RNAcentral describes it as "lincRNA-EC144". The record is from RNAcentral. Lineage: Eukaryota; Metazoa; Chordata; Mammalia; Rodentia; Muridae.
CCUCAACAGAAGAAUGGAUACAGAAAAUGUGAUACAUUUACACAACGAAAUAAGAACGUUUGCUAAUGUGUGGAAGGAAAAUGGAAAACGUAUUUGGAGCCCUUGCUGCAUUGCCGGUGAGAUGAAUUUACUUUAGACUGGGUGGGCAAAAGGAGCCUCAGAAGGCUACAAGAGUUGGUCACUCCAAAUAUUUCCAUAGUACAUAAUACAACAGUCACAGGAUGUAAGUUAAUGACAAAGAAGUUACAAAUACUGUGACAGAUGUUCUACCAAAGCAAAGAAAUGUUAAUGAAACAUGGCAAGACCUCGUAAAAGGCUUAGAAGAUAAUAGAAAAUUUGUUUCUGAACCUGAAGAGUGACCAUGAACACGUUUAUGACUCCUGAGAGAAAUGCUGUUAGAAGCUUGUCUUGACAAAUCGGCCUUCAUCCAACCAGCCACCAAGUUAAUAGUGUGUUUUCAUAUCAUUCAUAACAAGGAUUUCAUUCUCCUUUAAAUACUGUGGUUUUGACCCAUUCAGAAAUAAAUUACCUUUAAGAAAACUGAUGCAUUGUAAUCAACGUAACUAUGCUUUAGCCUCCAU